Molecule: non-coding RNA, 118 nt
Filed under: Scedosporium apiospermum
Lineage: Eukaryota; Fungi; Ascomycota; Sordariomycetes; Microascales; Microascaceae
Description: Eukaryotic small subunit ribosomal RNA
Rfam family: Eukaryotic small subunit ribosomal RNA
Source: Rfam by way of RNAcentral
AUACUGAUACAGGGCUCUUUUGGGUCUUGUAAUCGGAAUGAGUACAAUUUAAAUCCCUUAACGAGGAACAAUUGGAGGGCAAGUCUGGUGCCAGCAGCCGCGGUAAUUCCAGCUCCAA